ACUCGUAGCUAUAAUUCACAAUAUUACUGGAUUACAAAAUAAACUUUCUCGAGGGCUCGGAAGAGGAAGGUUUUUGGGUUUGUUUUGGGAGGUUUGAGUGAGGGGUGUAUGUUUGCUUUUUACCAAUGGGGAAGAAAGGGGAGAAUCAUCUGGAAGCUUUCCAGGAGAGAUGAAGUUUGAAUUGAGGUUUAAUAGCCCGAUAGGUGUUGCAAAGGGGAAAAUGAGAGGGAUAACAUGAGGAUCAGCCUUGACCUCCUACCCUCUUCUUUCCAUUUGGCACAACAUGCCUAGAGAGCCCCGGCAGCAGGAGCACACCGAAGUCAAUCGCAUUCUCUUCUGGAAGUACUUGCCGUGCCCGCCAUCGGUCCCUUGUUUAUUACUUAUUUUGAGACUCUCUGAGACACCACUUUUAGUGCAUCACAUCUCUUCCUCUUAUCUAAGCUAAGAAAAAACUUUUCACCUUGUCCCCCUUUUAGUCAUUCCACGCCGACUCCGCUUCCUGGCCCUAGCGUCCAGAAUGCAAGAAGAGUGGCCAAUGGGUGUGGGUGCCUCUGGGAGUGGCUACCAAGUACUACAAGUCCCAGAAGCCACCGGGGACGAACGGAGGGAGUGGGAAUAGGCAGGAGCCGCCCAGGUCUUAGAACAGGCACAGCCUAUUGGUCCACGCUAGAGCAGGGGAAUAAUGAAGAUGAAUCUCACCUUUUGCAAGAAGGAUGCUCUUAAAUCCUGUGUCCUCCAGCAUCUCCUAGUCUGGUCUCAGAUUUGAUCUCCACGCUUACCCCGUCUCUUAUACUGGGCCCAAUCCUGCUUUCAUUCUCCGCUAAACCCUUCCCAUCUGCUAGUUGCUUUCCUUCGUCCUCUACCUCCUCCUGUUUUCUUUGUCCUUCAAUAUCUAUAUGACUAUUCUAUCCCGCCCUGAGUGCCUGAGGUGCGUGGAAGCUUCCCAGUUUGGCCAGCCCGGAACAGAGGGCCCGGAACAGGCCAGGAUUCAGGCCGCAAGCCAGCCUCCUGUCUCCGGUGACACGCAGAGCUUCCAAUGCCUCAGCUGCAGCCCAUGCAGGAGAGCCCCGGCCCAGGGCCGGUCUGGGGCCAGAAUGCAACCUAUCCUAAAGGCUCUCUCUGCAGGGUAUACUGCUGCCAAACCAGAGAUUAUUUGUAAAAUUGAACAGAAGGAAGAACCAUGGAUAAAGGAAUCCCAGAAUGAUAGAAGCAGCUUGAAUUACCACUGGGGUUCUAGGAAUUGGAUCAGAAAUGAGAGGAUUAAAUAUGUUGGAGACAAUAUGGAAGACUCAGAGCCAUUUACAUUCUUGAUGAAGUCAGAGGGUAUUGUCCAGCUCUCCCUAAAGACUAAAAACAGUAGCAGAGAAAAGUCCUAGAAAAAACAGACCCAUACAGGAAGGUCUAGUGUGCCCCAAAGACUAUUGGGAAAAAAGAAGCCCCUAACCUGUGCUGAGUGUGACAAGAGCUUCAAAAGCAACACAGCCUUGACCAUCCAUGAGUGCAGCCACACGGGAGAAAGGCCUUUUAAGUGCCUCGAGUGUGGAAAAGGUUUCCCUUCCAAGGGGGACCUCAAGAGGCAUGGAAAGAUCCAUGUCGGGAAGCAUGAUAAAAUGGGAGUGAUGCUCAAAGAUGCCCUUCCAAAUCAUGGCCUCCCUAAGCACAGAAGACCUGACCCCAGGAAGCUUCAUGUCUGCCUUCAGUGUGGGAAAGACUUCAGAAAGGCUGGAACCCUCACGAAACACAUCAAUGGUCACCUGGCAGAGAGGCCCUUUGUGGGGAGUGUGGCCAGUGCUUCCGCCUCAAGCAGAUCUUGGUGUCCCACAGGCGGACACACAUUGGUGAGAGACCCUAUCGCUGUCCUCAGUGUGGGAAGUGUUUCAGCCAAAAGCACCAUCUCAGGAGUCACCAUCGAGUGCACACAAGUGAGAGGCCUUUUACUUGCUCCCUGUGCUCUCGAUGCUUCAGCCAGAAGCACCAUCUGGUCAGCCACCAAUGCAUCCACACAAGUGAGCAUCCCUUCACCUGUGUCAGCUGUGGCAAGAGUUUUAAGGACAAGAAGACACUGACCAUCCACUGCAGGGUACACACUGGGAAAUGACCAUACACAUGUUCUGAAUGUGGGAAGGCCUGUAGCCAGAAGCAGCAUUUGAAAAGCCACUUGUGGGUACACUGGGCAGGGGGACAAUGAAUGCUCUCAUCAUUCCCAGAAGAAAAACCCUAUCAGUGCAAGAUAUGUGGAAAGGCUUUCCGGGACAAGAGGAUUAUGCUGACCCACCAAAAGACCCAUGAUGAAGAGCCAAGACACUUUCCAGUGCUGGGGAAUGUGACAUUCCAAAAGAAGGGACUGCUUCUCUGAGGCAGUAGCAUGACUAUUCUUGGAUUGCCAUGGUCAGCCACUAAAAGAGGAUAGAAUGGGAUAUCUUCAAAGAGCCAUCUGGGAAGAUUAUCAUGGGGCCAGACCACUUGGGAGUUUCCAGAGGAAUCAGGUCACAGUAGCUCUUUUCCUUCUCUCAUAGGAUGAGAAUGGUUAAUUAUUCCACAAGGCCAACAGAUAGGGGCCUAGAGAGGAAGAAAUUCACCUUAUAAGUAAGUUCUCCUCAUAGAACAGAAAUAUAAGUUCCUCAUCUUUGAGAAGUUGUCACUUGAAGAUCCUUUAGAAAGGAAGAUAAAGAGAUCUCCCCAUUCUUUUCUCCACAUGUGAAAAAUCUGGACAAGGUCCAAAUAGCCCUCAGCUUGCCAUGUUAUCUGAAGUCUGGCUGAAAGAACUUCCAUUUAUUCUUCUAUCAAAAAUCCAAAUCCACCAUCUUUCUUUUCCUGCAGCACAACAGUAGGUUCAAAAAUCACUAUUAAAAAUCUGGAAUUGGAAAUCCUAAAUUCCACUCCUAGUCAUUUGUCACUUAGCCAAUCUGGAUCUGUUUCCUCAUUUGUAAAAUGAAGAAGUUGGACUAAAUAACCUAUUAGGCUCCUUCCAGCUCUAAAUCUAUGAUCCUAUGAUCUUAGAUUUUUGUGUGGUUGAUUCCAGUCCUAUGUUAUGAACAUUUAAGCAGGACCACAGAAUUGACUGUUCGUUAUUCUUCCAUAAUAAAGUUUUACCAUCCCUACAUUUCUAGCUGUCUUUGCUGUUCCCUGCGGGCUCAUUGCAAGUUCCCUAAUACCAAUGAUCUUCUGAUUUACUAUGUUGUUUCCAGAUUACGAAGGAAACUUUCGGCACAAUGAGCACUAUCUGGUACAGGGGGAAGUUGUUGGAUUCAGAGGUAAGACAUUGAAAGUGUAGUCCAAAUUCUUCCACAAAGUAGCUGUAACAACUUUGGGCAACUCUUUUUUUUUCUAAAUGGUUCCUCCCUCUGAGAUCUCUUCACUGCUCUCCUUUGGUCAUUUUUGUGACAAUCACGAAAACUACAUUAACUUCAUGCUGUUAUCAAAUGGGUCUGAAUUUGAAUUGGUUAAGAAGAAACUGAUUAAGGCAAGCUAAGCAAAAGGGUGGUACACUGAUUUUGACUGCUGAAUCUUUAGCCCAGGAAAUUCAAAGGAAUUAUUACAUAAUAGAAUUUAAUGCCCCUUUUGUUUCCUUCUUUUACUUCUUCCUUCCAUCUUAUUUUUUACUUCUUUCUCCCUCCAUCCCUACUAUAUUUCCUUUUUUACUCCAUCUCUUUCACUCUUCUCCCUAUCCUUGUAACUUUCAGGACCAAAAUGCCCCUCUCUAGCCAUUACUUCCUUUUUGUGUUGUCUCUCCCGUUAAAAAGUAAUUGCUUAAAAAGAUAGACUGUUUUUGUCUCUGGUAUUUAUAUCCCCAGCACUUAGUCCAAGGUUUAGUGGAUGUGCUUUUCCAUUCAUUCCUCCUAUCCCUCUUUUUACUCUCAAUUCUUCCCUUCCAUCUUCCACUCCUCUAUUUCUUCUUUAAUCAUCUAUCCAACUUUUCCCCCUUCUGCUCUUUUUUCAUUCCCUCAAUCUCUUCUCUCUUCUCCCACAAUCCUCCUUCCCAUCCUUUUUGUUUCUUCUCCUCUCAUUUCAACCCCAACCUUCACAAUUAUAAGGCAGAACCAAUAUUGGGUACUGGAGGAGAAGUCCCCACUUGCUAGAAUCUUUGUGGAAUAGAGAUCCUUGCCCCAGCCCUCUGUCCCAACACUCUCUUCCUGCUCCCAUUUCCUCUUUUUUGCUUCUUAUUUCUCCCAGUGCUCUCAUGGUUGCUUUCUCUUUUGUAAUCAAUUCAAAUCUCAUACAGUGGGGAAAAUGCUGAUUGGGAAUCAGAAGAUUUAGUUUUCAGUUCUGAAUCUGCUCCUAAUUAGUUGAUGACAAGUUUCAGCCUUACCAAACAAGUUUCUUUAUCAGAAGAAUGCAAAUAACAGCUACCCUUCCUUCUCCUGGAGACAUGGGGUGAGCAGCAAAUGAUAUAAUAUGUGUGAAAAUGAAAGUACUUUGUAAGUGGCAAAGAGCAGUUCAGGGGUUAUUAUUCAUUCUAAGGGAUUAAGAACUAACCUAAUUUCUCUCCCAGGAGCAUUGACAUUUUAGAGAGGAGCCUACAG
This is a long non-coding RNA of Antechinus flavipes (yellow-footed antechinus), 4523 nucleotides long. RefSeq lists it as uncharacterized. The record is from RefSeq and is a predicted model, not a curated record. The transcript has 3 exons. Lineage: Eukaryota; Metazoa; Chordata; Mammalia; Dasyuromorphia; Dasyuridae.